Molecule: small nucleolar RNA, 102 nt
Organism: Echinops telfairi (small Madagascar hedgehog)
Lineage: Eukaryota; Metazoa; Chordata; Mammalia; Afrosoricida; Tenrecidae
Product: small nucleolar RNA U13
Exons: 1
Source: RefSeq, a predicted model, not a curated record
CUUCUUUUCCAGUUAUAAGCAGGAGGAUUGGGCCUUCGUGUUUUGUGUGAUGUGUGCUUCCCAUUAACCCAGUGACAACAUCGGCACAUUACCCGUCUGCCA